GAUGAACGCUGGCGGCGUGCCUAAUACAUGCAAGUCGAGCGAACAGACGAGGAGCUUGCUCCUCUGACGUUAGCGGCGGACGGGUGAGUAACACGUGGAUAACAUACCUAUAAGACUGGGAUAAUUUCGGGAAACCGGAGCUAAUACCGGAUAAUAUAUUGAACCGCAUGGUUCAAUAGUGAAAGACGGUUUUGCUGUCACUUAUAGAUGGAUCCGCGCCGCAUUAGCUAGUUGGUAAGGUAACGGCUUACCAAGGCAACGAUGCGUAGCCGACCUGAGAGGGGGAUCGGCCACACUGGAACUGAGAGACAGUCCAGACUCCUACGGGAGGCAGCAGUAGGGAAUCUUACGCAAUGGACGAAAGCCGGACGGAGCACCGCCGCCGGAGUGAUGAAGGUCUUCGGAUCGUAAAACUCUGUUAUUAGGGAAGAACAAAUGUGUAAGUAACUAUGCACGUCUUGACGGUACCUAAUCAGAAAGCCACGGCUAACUACGUG
This 497-nucleotide ribosomal RNA is filed under the name uncultured bacterium. RNAcentral's name for it is "partial 16S ribosomal RNA". It matches the Rfam family "Bacterial small subunit ribosomal RNA", at positions 28 to 507 of the family's 1533-position model. The record is from RNAcentral.